GACGGCCUAUGGGUUGUAAACUUCUUUUUUCAGGGAGGAAUCAAUGACGUGUACCUGAAGAAUAAGCAUCGGCUAACUCCGUGCCAGCAGCCGCGGUAAGACGGAGGAUGCAAGUGUUAUCCGGAAUCACUGGGCGUAAAGCGUCUGUAGGUGGUUUAAUAAGUCAACUGUUAAAUCUUGGGGCUCAACCUCAAAACCGCAGUCGAAACUAUCAGGCUAGAGUAUAGUAGGGGUAAAGGGAAUUUCCAGUGGAGCGGUGAAAUGCGUAGAGAUUGGAAGGAACACCGAUGGCGAAGGCACUUUACUGGGCUAUUACUAACACUCAGAGACGAAAGCUAGGGUAGCAAAUGGGAUUAGAUACCCCAGUAGUCCUAGCUGUAAACAAUGGAUACUAGAUGUUGAACAGAUCGACCUGUGCAGUAUCAAAGCUAACGCGUUAAGUAUCCCGCCUGGGAAGUAUGCUCGCAAGAGUGAAACUCAAAGGAAUUGACGGA
Molecule: ribosomal RNA, 494 nt
Filed under: uncultured bacterium
Lineage: Bacteria
Description: bacterial SSU rRNA
Rfam family: Bacterial small subunit ribosomal RNA
Source: RNAcentral